CCUGUCUCUCAGGAAGUGGCACGUGAUAAAAGGCAGCGACAUCUCAACAAGAAAAGAAGAGAGUGUGUUUACAGAAGACAGUGACAGGAGUCAUGUUUUUUACCUUCAUUGUUUUGAUGUUGGUGUUCCUAAUAGAUGGAAACUAUGGACAGUCUGUUGAACAGACACAGCAACCCCAGUCUAUCUUCCAAGGAGACUCCAUAUAUCUGGAAUGCACCUCAACUGCUGCUUAUUUUUUCUGGUAUGUUCAGUAUCCUGGCCAAGCUCCAGAGAUGCUCCUAAGCAGUGUGUUAAAAGAAGAAAACAAAGGAUUUUUAGCUGAGCACAAGAGAAGUGGAACAUAUUUCCAUCUGAAAAAAGACAAAGCUGAACUGCAAGACUCCGGGGUGUAUUUCUGUGGUGUCAGUGACACAGUGACUAAGGGAUGGAGCCCACCUGUCACAUAACUUUCAAGCUGAGCUCUUGAUUUUCUAUAUAUGUUCCCUUUGCUAAAUAUGCUUCAGUGAAUUGCGGUGUUUGUAUGAAUGACCUGUAGGUGUCACUGUGUACAAGAAUUAUUUUGUACAUACAUAGUACUUUCUAUACUGCUAAAAGUGUUAGAGUUGACGUUCCUGCUAAAGUGUAAUGGCUGCAUUAAGCUGUGAUGAAUAAAGCACCAUACCCAUUCUUGGCUACCAAAAUAUAAUAUUAAUGUGUAACUUAUUCAUAUAUUUUAG
Molecule: non-coding RNA, 716 nt
Organism: Xenopus laevis (African clawed frog)
Lineage: Eukaryota; Metazoa; Chordata; Amphibia; Anura; Pipidae
Source: the annotation of a RefSeq genome assembly